RNAcentral lists this ribosomal RNA (460 nucleotides) under uncultured bacterium. RNAcentral describes it as "partial 16S ribosomal RNA". It matches the Rfam family "Bacterial small subunit ribosomal RNA", at positions 338 to 795 of the family's 1533-position model. The record is from RNAcentral.
CCUACGAGGGGCAGCAGUGAGGAAUAUUGGUCAAUGGACGCAAGGCUGAACCAGCCAUGCCGCGUGCAGGAAGACGGCUCUAUGAGUUGUAAACUGCUUUUGUACGGGGGUAAACGCAGAUACGCGUAUCUGUCUGAAAGUAUCUUACGAAUAAGGAUCGGCUAACUCCGUGCCAGCAGCCGCGGUAAUACGGAGGAUUCAAGCGUUAUCCGGAUUUAUUGGGUUUAAAGGGUGCGUAGGCGGUCGGAUAAGUUAGAGGUGAAAUCCCGAGGCUCAACUUCGGAAGUGCCUCUGAUACUGUUCGGCUAGAGAGUAGUUGCGGUAGGCGGAAUGUAUGGUGUAGCGGUGAAAUGCUUAGAGAUCAUACAGAACACCGAUUGCGAAGGCAGCUUACCAAGCUACUUCUGACGUUGAGGCACGAAAGCGUGGGGAGCAAACAGGAUUAGAUACCCUUGUAGUC